GGUGUCUCCACGUGGGUAUCUGUGUGCUAAUUGAGCUCGAGAUAUGAUGACUUGAGUAAACAGUAUUGAAUGCUAGUGCUUACUACAUGACAACAUAGUGUAGACAAUAAGAAAUGAAGGGAUUUGUGUGCAGAGUUUUGCAGUGACAGUUCAACAAAUCUGAUUCACGUGUCAAAAAGGGGAAUAGAGUUUAUAGUUUAGGGAAAUGGGUGUGCUUUUUAAUAAAUGGUGUUAUGGUCUUGAAAUUUUAGUUCAAAAACCUGGUUAUAGUGUUUAAGCAGUUGAGUAAAAACUGUAAUAGAACAUUUUAAAUAAUAAUCACAAACUUUCUGGUUUAAAAACAGCUUCAGGUUGAAUGAUCCAUCUCCAAAUUCCCUGAGUUAGAAUCACAGUGCUCAGUGUUCAUGUGUGUCCACACUACAGAGUGUAAAACAUGCCCAAAUGACAAUAAUAUAUAGCCUUCUCACAUUAAAAUAAGACAAGUUAUGCAAGCACAUUCAUUGGUCAUACACAGAUCAUGGAAGUCAUUUGCCCCCACCCUCCCUCCCAUCCGUCGUGUCCUUUGUUCUGAAAGUCAUGUGGUUUUCUGGAAAGAGAGCAGACCCCGGAUAUAUCUCUGUAGCACACAGAUCCUUUCUGAUUGGCUGACAUGUGUCUUGCGCAACAGGAGUACACUUAUAUAAAUCCUGUGCAGUGGCAAAAGACUCCAGCAAGAGAAUUCAAGAACACAAAACACAUCUCUAAUAUAAUAUCCUGAAGAAAACUGAUUGGAACACAGGUUUCCUCAGUUCCUCUAUCUUGUACUAUGGGUGUGGCAGACGAACUGUGUGAAGAGCUCUUCCGUUGGAUUGAUCAGCAGAAGCGAUGUGCAGAUCAUCUCAAGGCUUUGGCCACCGAGCUGGAGGACAUGAGGGAGGUGAUGACUGCAGGCCAGUUGGUGGGAAACACAGCAACUGUGCUUGGGUCUGCCGCUCUUGUUGGGACAGGCAUUGCAACAAUUCUGACUGGAGGCCUGGCUGCACCCUCGCUGGCACUGGCAGCUGGAAUCACAGCCGGAGUGGGUACUGCAACUAGUCUUACACUUACGCUUGUGGAGAAAUGGAAAUCCAGUAAAACAAUGGAAAAUGCAGAGAAGACUGCUGACAAAAUCAAACAGAUUCAGAACAAUAUCGAAAGGCUCCAGAAGAAACUCCAGAAGGAGUGUGAGAGUGAAGGGUUUGAAGUGUCAUCGUCCGAUGACGUGCAGUGUGAAAUCACAGCGAGGAUCCUGAGAGCCUUGGCCAAACACAGUGGUAGAGAUCUGCCUCUCAGUCGCCUAAGACACCUCUUGAGAAGUGAUGGCAUGUAUACACAUCACAGAUAUCCAAAGUUUAUUCUACACGGUGCAUUCUUCUACACCGUCAGUUCUUUCAUAGCAUACCUUGGAUAUUCUACCAUCUUUCUGAAAACAGCAGCAACAAAAGGACAAAAAUAUUAUGCUCCAUUUCUUGUGAAAGCUACUAAAGAAAUGGCUGAUAUUUCAAUGAAAACUGUGUUAAAGGGAACAGGCCAGGCCGCAGGAGGAAUCUUUGGGCUGAUAUUAACAGUUCCUGAUCUGAUUGAUAACUGUGAAGAACUGAUUAAAAACAAACAUCAGACUGAAGCUAGCACAUAUCUGAAGACAAAAGCUGAUGAAAUCCGUGAGACCGUGAAGAAAUUUAAAAAGCCAUUGAAUGAAUUGCAAGACAUGCUCAAUCAAAUCCCUGAAAUGGAGUGUCACAUUGAUUUGGCUCAGGAGAUGUUUGGAUCUCAAAUAUACACUCGAGGCUCCAUCUGUAUGGAGUAUAAACAGAGCCAAAAGCAGGACAGGAAGACACAGGGGUUUAUUCUCCUAUGCACAAAAGACAUAGGAGUAACUAAGAAUUGUUCCACAGGCAAAGACAAAUCAGGUGACAACAAGAACAAAAGACGGAAGAAGAAGACUACUUCAACUGUAGACAGGAGCCUUAACCAGGAGAGGAAACCUGCUUUUCAGAAGGAGCUCCAAGAAAUGAUGGAAGAUGUGGAAAACGUUAAUUCUGAUCUGAUGUUCUUCACAGAGACAUGGUUGAACAGGAACUCGCCCAGCAUUAACUUAGAUAGAUAUAAGUCUUUCCGGGUUGAUCGUGAUGCACGGCUUACUAAGAAAAGUAAAGGAGGGGGAUUGAUGGUGCUUGUGAACAAGGCUUGGGCGACUGAUGUGGAGGUGGAAAACAUCAUGAUUACUCCAGAUUAUGAGUUAAUGGUUGUGUCCAUUAUACCACAUGACCACCCUGAGGAUGCGCCACCACUUACCUUCAUCCAUGUGUAUAUCCCUCCAAGAACUAAUAUGACUCGAGCUGCCAUUGACAUCGCUGCUGUUUACUAUGAUGUUCUGGAGCAGUAUCCUGGUGGUCCUGUUUUCUUGUUGGGUGAUUUCAACCACUGUGACAUCACUCAUCUCUUAGACCUGGAGCAAUAUGUCACAUGCCCAACCAGAAACAGUAACACCCUGGAUCAAUGCUAUGGGAAUGUGCCAGAGGCUUAUAGAUCUGAAUGCAGACCCCCGCUUGGCCGGUCAGACCACAAUGUCAUUCAUUUGAUUCCUAAAAAGAAGUCAGAUGGAAGUGACCCUUCUAAAGAUGAGAAGUGUAGACAUGACAGUACCAAAUCCAGAAAGCAAUGAGAGGCUGCGCAACAGUUCUCUUUUGUUUUCAUGUAGCACACCAGGGUCCUAGAGGAACAUCGGUUAGUUUCACUGUGUGCUGUGCUAGUAUAUGAUAGCUUGUUUCGUCCGAUAGAUGUAGGUGGUGUCUAACUACUUUCAAUUAACUUACUGAGUAUAAAACCUCAUUGAGAAAGAAGAAGACAGGAUAAUAGUGGGGAAUGGCAUGAAAACUGGCACAACAAUGAGGAACAACAAGAGGGAAAAAAAUUCUCCUUUGAAUGAAGAAAAUUAAAUGCUUGAUAUGCUUAAAAGUCCCCUUAAGUGCUUGGAAACACACAGAGUUAUUCUGUGUGGUGACGUAAUUUCGACUGAAACAGGAAGAGAUGGUGGGACAUAUCGAGCAGCCCGCCCGGGAGGCCAGGAUGUUAGUUGAAGGAAAUGCCUUGUAUACUAAAUCCCCAGGAAGAAUGGUUGAGUGGGUUCACUGUAAACCAUUCACCUUCUUGAACUCUCUCUGUCUACUUUUAUUUGAUAUUGAUAAACACACACCAGUUAGUAUCUAACUUUGAGUGCAAUCCUCAUCAAAAAUNGUUGGGGUGGGGGGGGGGGGUUAGGUAACAGUUAACAUUUAUAGACACUAAACAGUCUCUAAGUAAUCAUUCAUGCUACAGUAUGUAGACUGAUCAUGUUAUGCCACAAGGCAUUCAAAGAGGGUGAGUAAUGUCCUCAAAUCUAUUUAAAAGGACAAGUAUAUACAAUAAAUGUACUCUAAACAUAAGCA
This is a long non-coding RNA of Cyprinus carpio (common carp), 3446 nucleotides long. The record is from Ensembl. Lineage: Eukaryota; Metazoa; Chordata; Actinopteri; Cypriniformes; Cyprinidae.